This 22-nucleotide non-coding RNA is filed under the name Arabidopsis thaliana (thale cress). Lineage: Eukaryota; Viridiplantae; Streptophyta; Magnoliopsida; Brassicales; Brassicaceae. The record is from RNAcentral.
CACGUCUGCCUGGGUGUCACAA